UCCGGUUGAUCCUGCCAGGAGGCCGCUGCUAUCUGGCUGGGACUAAGCCAUGCUAGUCUAGGGGCUUGUACUCCUUCGGGGGUGCAAGCACCGGCGGACGGCUCAGUAACACGUGGACAACCUGCCCUCGGGAGGGGGAUAACCCCGGGAAACUGGGGCUAAACCCCCAUAGGAGAUGGGUACUGGAAUGUCCCUUCCCCGAAAGCUCCGGCGCCCGAGGAUGGGUCUGCGGCGGAUUAGGUAGUUGGUGGGGUAACGGCCCACCAAGCCUAAGAUCCGUACGGGCUGUGGGAGCGGGAGCCCGGAGAUGGACCCUGAGACAAGGGUCCAGGCCCUACGGGGCGCAGCAGGCGCGAAACCUUCGCAAUGCGGGAAACCGCGACGAGGUCAGCCGGAGUGCCCGUGCAUUGCGCGGGCUGUCCGGGUGCCUAAACAGCACCCGACAGCAAGGGCCGGGCAAGGCCGGUGGCAGCCGCCGCGGUAAUACCGGCGGCCCGAGUGGCGGCCACUCUUAUUGGGCCUAAAGCGUCCGUAGCCGGCCCAGUAAGUCCUCCGGGAAAUCUGGUCGCUCAACGAUCAGACUUCCGGGGGAUACUGCUGG
RNAcentral lists this ribosomal RNA (601 nucleotides) under uncultured archaeon. RNAcentral describes it as "bacterial SSU rRNA". It matches the Rfam family "Archaeal small subunit ribosomal RNA", at positions 1 to 590 of the family's 1478-position model. The record is from RNAcentral.